Molecule: long non-coding RNA, 286 nt
Organism: Hibiscus syriacus
Lineage: Eukaryota; Viridiplantae; Streptophyta; Magnoliopsida; Malvales; Malvaceae
Exons: 3
Source: RefSeq, a predicted model, not a curated record
AUAUGUUUUUGGUGGGACAAACUUUGGCCGUACUUCCGGUGGGCCCUUCUAUAUUACUAGUUACGAUUAUGAUGCUCCUAUUGAUGACUAUGGUUUAAGGAGUGAUCCAAAAUGGGGGCACUUGAAAGAUCUUCAUGCUGCUAUUAAGCUCUGUGAACCUGCUCUAGUUGCCGAGGAUUCACCUCAGUAUAUGAAAUUGGGACCAAAGCAGGAGGUUUUCUUUUUGUUGCUUUUUUUAACUUCUUUUUCUGCUGUUAUGCAUCAAUCAAAUAGUGGAUUAAAUAAG